This 253-nucleotide ribosomal RNA is filed under the name uncultured bacterium. RNAcentral's name for it is "partial 16S ribosomal RNA". It matches the Rfam family "Bacterial small subunit ribosomal RNA", at positions 524 to 776 of the family's 1533-position model. The record is from RNAcentral.
UACGUAGGCAGCAAGCGUUGUUCGGAGUUACUGGGCGUAAAGGGUGCGUAGGCGGCUUCUUAAGUCUGGUGUGAAAUCUCCCGGCUCAACUGGGAGGGUGCGCCGGAUACUGAGGGGCUAGAGUGUGGGAGAGGAAAGUGGAAUUCCUGGUGUAGCGGUGAAAUGCGUAGAUAUCAGGAGGAAUACCGGUGGUGUAAACGGCUUUCUGGACCAUAACUGACGCUGAGGCACGAAAGCGUGGGUAGCAAACAGG